Molecule: small nuclear RNA, 305 nt
Filed under: Nannospalax galili (Upper Galilee mountains blind mole rat)
Lineage: Eukaryota; Metazoa; Chordata; Mammalia; Rodentia; Spalacidae
Description: 7SK RNA (ENSNGAG00000007190.1)
Rfam family: 7SK RNA
About the family: 7SK was discovered as an abundant small nuclear RNA in the mid-70s but a possible function has only recently been suggested. Two independent studies have found that 7SK RNA binds the CDK9/cyclin T complex (known as elongation factor P-TEFb). P-TEFb activates transcription by phosphorylating the C-terminal domain of RNA polymerase II.
Source: Rfam by way of RNAcentral
GGAUGUGGGGCACUUUGGCUGCGACAUCUGUCACUCCACUGAUCGCUGGGGUUGAUUUGGCUGAUCUGGCUGGCUAGGCAAGUGUCACCUUUCCCUCUCACCACUCCAUGUGUGUCCACUCAAAGCUGUGUGGUUGAAGCAGACAACCUUCCCUGGUAGAGGAGGACUAUUGCUUGGUCAAGGGUAUGGAAGUAGCUGUCUCUCCUGCUGGACCCUCCAUGCAACUCUUAAAGCAGCGCCAACAAUCAAUUCCAAAAAGAAAAUAUGAAAAUAAAAAAGAAACCCCAACACUUUGACAAAACUGU